ACAGACUAACUCGGUUCCCCCUCUGAAGCUUCUGAACUUGACCAGUUAUGAUGUAAACUUCAAAGAAAUGUGCAGAAGGAUGCAGCAGCAGACGUCCAAUUAAGUAAAGUCUAUGCAGCCUGGGAUAACAGGGAUCCAAAUUGAUGAAAGUCCUGUGUCUCUUCCCCGUUGCUCCUCUCACAGUCCCACAACCAAGCGGAAUAGGAUGGCGUGCUCAAGGUAACCGCCACGAUGAAACUGAGCACAAGGCCCGGGACUGACUACUCUGGUGCUCAGAGUAAAGACCCUGGAGAAGAUGCAGCCACUGCCAUGAAAAAUUCACCCAUAUUCUCCAUCUCUAAGGGCCAGAUGGGCAUAUUCUGCAUGAUCAAGUUUUUGCUGCUGAUGGAUACUGGUAAUGAUAGACAUCAGUCCAUCCUCUUUUCAACUUCUGACUCUUUACAGGUGCAUCUGUGAGAAGGUUCCCAGUUUUGGAAUCACAGACGUAGUCCUCUUGGUCUAUCCCUGGGUCAUGCGACUGACACUUGCCUUCUUGCUCUCUGGGUCUCCCACCACCUGGUCCUGCUGGGCCAGAUCCUCUGGUCUCCUCCAGACAAGGCACAGAGUUGAGGUUACUGCCCCCUGCAGAGUAAUGUAGGAACUGAACCCCUUUAGCUCUGGAAGGGUUCAGCUCUAAGUGCUCAACACACAGCAAACCAAUCUACAAAUGGGACCAAAACCCCCAAAUAAAUCCAUCUUACUCUGUGUAAAAAUUUUAUACAAAGAAAGUUUCAAGGUUAGACCCCUUUAUCAAUGAAAGAGAGAAAUGACAGUGCUCCCCUACCCCCACAGGUAACAAUUAUUUA
Pelodiscus sinensis (Chinese soft-shelled turtle) is the source of this 845-nucleotide long non-coding RNA. RefSeq lists it as uncharacterized. Lineage: Eukaryota; Metazoa; Chordata; Testudines; Trionychidae. The record is from RefSeq and is a predicted model, not a curated record.